GAGAAGUUCACUGAACCUUAUCAUUUAGAGGAAGGAGAAGUCGUAACAAGGUUUCCGUAGGUGAACCUGCGGAAGGAUCAUUGUCGAAACCUUGCCCACCGGAACGACCCGCGAACCAGUUGCGCAAAUACGAGGAGAUCACGGGGGGCCUCGGCCCCCUCAUCUCCGCGAAACAACAACCAAAACCCCCGGCGCGAGUCGCGCCAAGGAAAUCCAACCAGAAGAUCGCCGUCCCAGUCCCCGGAAGGGGGUCAGGGGGCGGCGGGCCUUCGCGUCGAACAAACAAAAACGACUCUCGGCAACGGAUAUCUCGGCUCUCGCAUCGAUGAAGAACGUAGCGAAAUGCGAUACUUGGUGUGAAUUGCAGAAUCCCGGGAACCAUCGAGUCUUUGAACGCAAGUUGCGCCCGAAGCCUUUAGGCCGGGGGCACGUCUGCCUGGGUGUCACGCACCGUCGCCCCAAACCCACCUCCGCCGGAGGGAGUUACGGGGCGGAUGUUGGUCUCCCGUUAGCCGCGCGGCUCGCGGUUGGCCCAAAUUUGCAGUCCUUGGCGGAGGACGCCACGACGAUCGGUGGUUUUGGCCCUCGGACUCGGUCGUGCGCAAAC
This 607-nucleotide ribosomal RNA is filed under the name Licania canescens. RNAcentral describes it as "eukaryotic LSU rRNA". The stretch from base 291 to 446 matches the Rfam family "5.8S ribosomal RNA". The record is from RNAcentral. Lineage: Eukaryota; Viridiplantae; Streptophyta; Magnoliopsida; Malpighiales; Chrysobalanaceae.